AAUUGAUAAAAUCGAUACCGCGCUUCCCGCGUGGGGCGAAGCGGCCGGGGAACCGUGCCGUGGACCGCGCGGGAGUGAGAAUGCAGACAUGAGUAGCGAGAGACGGGUGAGGAUCCCGUCCGCUGGAUGACCAAGGGUUCCGGGGCCACGUUCGUCGUCCCCGGGUGAGUCGGGUCCUAAGGCGAGGCCGACAGGCGUAGUCGAAUGGAUGAACGGGUGGAUAUUCCCGUACCGGCGGCGUACCGUAAGAGCCGAACGGAUGAGUACUAACCUCCGGUCGCGUGGCGUCGUUCCCUUCGGGGUUCGGUGUCCGCGGUCGUUGGGAGCGUAGUCCUGGUAGGCUAGCGCACAGGGGUGACACGGAAUGGGAGCCGGCCGCGGAGGUGGUUUUCCGUGGUCAAGCACGCAGCCCGUCCCAUAGGCAAAUCCGUGGGGCAUGUAGGGUGAGGUGUGAUGAUGGGCGUCUUUAUGGCGCGAUAUCCGGUGGUCCAGGCCGUCGAGAAAAGCCUCGGCGCGAGGGGCGUCGCCGCCCGUACCCCAAACCGACACUGGUGGUCAGGUAGAGAAUACCAAGGCGAUCGAGCGAAUCCUGGUCAAGGAACUCGGCAAAUCACUCCCGUGCCUUCGGUAUAAGGGAGACCCCCGGGCGUGAAGAGGCUUGCCCUCGGAGCGUUGGGGGGUGGCACAGACCAGGGGGUAGCGACUGUUUACCAAAAACACAGGUGCAUGCGAAGGCGCAAGCCGCUGUAUAUGCACUGACGCCUGCCCGGUGCCGGAAGGUUAAGAGGAUCCGUCAGCCUUUUUGGGUGAAGCGGUGAAUUCAAGCCCCGGUAAACGGCGGUGGUAACUAUAACCAUCCUAAGGUAGCGAAAUUCCUUGUCGGGUAAGUUCCGACCUGCACGAAUGGCGUAACGACUUCCCCACUGUCUCGACCAGGAGCUCGGCGAAAUUGCAGUACGAGUAAAGAUGCUCGUUAAGCGCAGAAGGACGAAAAGACCCCGGGACCAUUACUAUACCUUGGUAUUGGCGUUAGGCGCGGAUUGUGUAGCAUAGGCGGGAGGCUUCGAAGCGUGGGCGCCAGCCCGUGUGGAGCCGCAAGGUGAAAUACCGCUCUGUUCUCGUUUGACGUCUCACCUCGAACAGUCAUCCUGUUCAGGGACAGUGCCUGGCGGGUAGUUUAACUGGGGCGGUUGCCUCCCAAAGAGUAACGGAGGCGCUCAAAGGUCCGCUCAGCCCGGUUGGCAAUCGGGUUUCGAGUGUAAUCGCACAAGCGGGCUUGACUGCGAGAACGACGGUUCGGGCAGGGACGAAAGUCGGAGAUAGUGAUCCGGUGCCGGCGCACGGGCGCGGCAUCGCUCAACGGAUAAAAGGUACCCCGGGGAUAACAGGCUGAUCAUUCCCAAGAGCCCAUAUCGACGGAAUGGUUUGGCACCUCGAUGUCGGCUCGUCGCAUCCUGGGGCUGGAGCAGGUCCCAAGGGUUCGGCUGUUCGCCGAUUAAAGCGGCACGCGAGCUGGGUUCAGAACGUCGUGAGACAGUUUGGUCUCUAUCCUCUGCGCUCGUUGGAAUCCUGAGGAGGCCUGCCCAUAGUACGAGAGGACCUGGGUGGACGGACCUCUGGUAUGCCGGUUGUCGCGCCAGCGGCAUGGCCGGUUGGCUACGUUCGGGAGGGAUAACCGCUGAAAGCAUCUAAGCGGGAAGCCUGCUCCAAGAUUAGGAUUCCUUGACGCUCCCCGGAGCGUCCGAAGCCCGCAUGUUGAACACGUGUUCGAUAGGCCGGAGGUGGAAGCCCCGCGAGGGGUGGAGCCGACCGGUACUAACGGACGAAAGGCAACACUA
RNAcentral lists this ribosomal RNA (1838 nucleotides) under human gut metagenome. Its description in RNAcentral is "bacterial LSU rRNA". It matches the Rfam family "Bacterial large subunit ribosomal RNA", at positions 1214 to 2925 of the family's 2925-position model. The record is from RNAcentral.